CUUGAUUUAAUUUUGAACGAGUGGCGGACGGGUGAGUAACACGUGGGUAACCUGCCCUUAAGUGGGGGAUAACAUUUGGAAACAGAUGCUAAUACCGCAUAAAUCCAAGAACCGCAUGGUUCUUGGCUGAAAGAUGGCGUAAGCUAUCGCUUUUGGAUGGACCCGCGGCGUAUUAGCUAGUUGGUGAGGUAACGGCUCACCAAGGCAAUGAUACGUAGCCGAACUGAGAGGUUGAUCGGCCACAUUGGGACUGAGACACGGCCCAAACUCCUACGGGAGGCAGCAGUAGGGAAUCUUCCACAAUGGACGCAAGUCUGAUGGAGCAACGCCGCGUGAGUGAAGAAGGCUUUCGGGUCGUAAACUCUGUUGUUGGAGAAGAAUGGUCGGCAGAGUAACUGUUGUCGGCGUGACGGUAUCCAACCAGAAAGCCACGGCUAACUACGUGCCAGCAGCCGCGGUAAUACG
Molecule: ribosomal RNA, 465 nt
Filed under: Lacticaseibacillus casei
Lineage: Bacteria; Bacillati; Bacillota; Bacilli; Lactobacillales; Lactobacillaceae
Description: bacterial SSU rRNA
Rfam family: Bacterial small subunit ribosomal RNA
Source: RNAcentral